AGAAUCUUCCACAAUGGACGAAAGUCUGAUGGAGCGACGCCGCGUGGGCGAUGAAGGCCGUGAGGUUGUAAAGCCCUUUUCUUGAGGGGGAAUAAUGCAGGCAGGGAAUGGCCUGCGGAUGACGUGAAUCAAGGAAUAAGCCCCGGCUAACUACGUGCCAGCAGCCGCGGUAACACGUAGGGGGCGAGCGUUGUUCGGAAUCAUUGGGCGUAAAGGGCGCGCAGGCGGCCCGGUAAGUCUGGUGUAAAAUGGUCGUGCUCAACACGAUCAUGCGCUGGAAACUGUCGGGCUGGAGUCAACGAGGGGAUGCCGGAAUUCCAGGUGUAGGGGUGAAAUCUGUAGAUAUCUGGAAGAACACCGAUGGCGAAGGCAGGCAUCUGGCGACUGACUGACGCUGAGGCGCGAAGGUGCGGGGAGCAAACA
Molecule: ribosomal RNA, 423 nt
Filed under: uncultured bacterium
Lineage: Bacteria
Description: bacterial SSU rRNA
Rfam family: Bacterial small subunit ribosomal RNA
Source: RNAcentral